UACGGGGGGGGCAAGCGUUGUUCGGAAUUACUGGGCGUAAAGGGUGCGUAGGCGGCCUGCUAAGUCGGAUGUGAAAUCCCUCGGCUCAACCGAGGAACUGCAUCCGAUACUGGCGGGCUUGAAUCCGGGAGAGGGAUGUGGAAUUCCAGGUGUAGCGGUGAAAUGCGUAGAUAUCUGGAGGAACACCGGUGGCGAAGGCGGCACCCUGGACCGGUAUUGACGCUGAGGCGCGAAAGCUAGGGGAGCAAACGGG
This 253-nucleotide ribosomal RNA is filed under the name uncultured bacterium. RNAcentral's name for it is "partial 16S ribosomal RNA". It matches the Rfam family "Bacterial small subunit ribosomal RNA", at positions 524 to 776 of the family's 1533-position model. The record is from RNAcentral.